UCUUAAGGGGAAUUUAAACCAUAAUUGUAUUAUAGUUAUUUUUGAACAUGUAUAAAGAAAAGGUUUCCAACACUGAAGCUUUAGUUAAGAUAAAAGGUCAUUAAAAUGGGAAGGACCUUACCAGAAAUUAGUUUUCUGGAAUGUGCAAGAUUUUGGAAGAUGCAGUAUUUAAUUUUUUUCUAAUUAAUCAUCUUUAUCACAUGAGAGUAUUUUCACUAUGUGGCUGAAUAAUGUUAACCAGAUAAUUUUCCUGCAGCUCAUCUAACUUACAUGACUUUUAAUUUAGACACGCACACCGCAGAGCGUGGCGAUGGAACAGUAACCGGGCUUGUGAGAGGGCUCUACAGUAUCAACUAGGAGACAAGAUCCACGGAUUCACUGUCAACCAGCAUAGGAACUAAAAAUGACAACACUUCACAUAUUUGGCCAGCUGUUGGCUCUGUGCUAUGGUAGAUGUUACAGCAAAUCUAAAAGACACAACUUACCGUCUAGAAAGACUGAUGUGGCUGUGACUGGAGGCACAUGGUGGACACCAUGCAGAGGGCCAAGGACAAGGGAUAAGGGACUUGGAUAGGAUGGUUCUGUUCUCUCCAGCUCUGAAAUACUGGCUUCCUGGCAUCAUCUAAUUUCAGGCAGAAAAGCCAGUUUUCUCAGUGUGUCGAAGAUCACCAUUUCAAAGGCCAUUUUGUCUAAGUUUAACUGGCUGUGUUUUUCUGGUUAACUCAAGUGACAUCUGUUCCCGAGCUGUUCCUGAUGGCAGUGAAGCUCAGCCACGAUGACACAGGAGCCAGGUAUUUACACCUUGCCAGAGAAGACACGAAUAAUCUGUUGAGGUACAUGGUGCAUUGUAAGAACAUGGUCUUGAAUGUUUUAUUUAAAUCAGGGAUGUCCAGUCUUUUGCAGAGAUGCAAAGAAAUGCAGUAGCUGACAGACAAAGGAUGGCUCUGGGAGAUGCAGAAGGAGCAUGUCACCCAAAAGAGAGCCAAACGGGUAUCCUUAAGGAA
Molecule: long non-coding RNA, 1004 nt
Organism: Piliocolobus tephrosceles (Ugandan red Colobus)
Lineage: Eukaryota; Metazoa; Chordata; Mammalia; Primates; Cercopithecidae
Exons: 3
Source: RefSeq, a predicted model, not a curated record